Molecule: long non-coding RNA, 3069 nt
Filed under: Canis lupus familiaris (dog)
Lineage: Eukaryota; Metazoa; Chordata; Mammalia; Carnivora; Canidae
Description: lncRNA (ENSCAFG00000058231.1)
Source: RNAcentral
UUUUUUUUUUUUUUUUUAUUAUUAUUAGAUGUUUAAAAAACAUUUCCCUAAACACCAGAGGGGAAGUGAUUGCUAGGGGCAGGGCAGAGGAGAGAAGUAAAGAGGGGGAGGGGGAGAGAAAGAACUACAUUUUUUUCAGUUGACAAACAUUUAUUUUUAUCAACCAUCUCAGGAGAUUAGCCUUUCUGUAUUUAUUUCCAAUAAUAGAAUAAUAUGUGUAACUUAGAAAAUAGAUGUUCUUAAAUUCAUAUUACAAAUAAACUUUUAAGAUAACCUUUUGCUUUUAACAUCCUUUGACAAGUUUAUAAAUAUAAAAUAUUAAUAGUAAUACCAGAUAAUGGUGAAUAUACAGACCAAUUUCACUGAUGGAAAUAUAAAUUGGUACAAUCUUGUAGAGUAUAUCAACAACCUUAAAAAUAUGCAUCCCCUUAGUCCAGCAAUGCUACACUGGCAGUAUAUUCUAUGAAAAUAACUUUAAACAUACAGAAAACAUUACUUAAAAUGUGUUCAUAUUAUCUAUUUUCAAAAAAAUAGAGUAAAAAAAAUUAGAUAACUGUCUACCUCUAAGGGUUUCUAUUACAGUAAUGCAUACAAAUAUCACAUUGAACACUUUUGAUGCAAUGUUGGUGAUCUUAAAAAAAAAAGUGACUUCUGAUUUGACUUCUGAGUUUGGCAGUAACGGUACAUUAGAUUUUCUUCAUUAUUACCACCAAAAACAACAAAAAUGCUAAAUAUUCUUUUAAUGAAACUUCAGAUGUAAAAAAUUAGUGAAUCAAAAAGAUUAGUGAAAGAUACAAUUAUUUCUAGAUAAGCUCAUGUGUAGCCCAGUAUUUAUUCUAACGGCCUUUGCCAAAUCCUAGUGAACUUGAGCUUCUGAUAUAAUACAUGCUCAGGGUCACCUAGCAUGAGAGACAGGAAAUAAAGCUGAAGACUCCCCUGAAGAGGAAAAUCUAAUGGGAGCUUCCAAUAUUAAGCUAGGAGCCCAAAGGUCUACAUUCUCAGUGUAAGAGUAAAUGAGAAAAAAAAUCACUAUGCAAUUUUUAAAAAAUAGCAAUAUUGGGGGUAAAUAACUCUUCCUUGAGAAUCUAUAACCACAAGCCAAUUUCCACACAGAUUUAUAGUCAGAAAAACUCAAGGUGAGAAAUAGGAGUUAUUCGAGUCACAGGUUGGUAGUAAUCCCAGGCAACAUCAGAAGCAAAGAUAACUCUUCUCUGGAGAGACUCAACUUCAGACCACUCUUCAGAUAAUUCCUACAAAUGAUGUUCCAAGGAACAUGCUCUUACAGUCAAAUAUCAAAACAUAUUAUGAGGAACCAUAAGCCAGAGACAACUAAAGCACAAUUCCGUGUUGCAAAUAAUUUAGAUGUCAUCAGAGUAUAUAAAGCCAUGUUUCACAUAUCUCAAGAAAUAAGAGAGGCCAAAAAUGUGAAUACAAAACAAAAAUAUUGUAGAAAUCAAUAAAACAGAUGUGAAAAGAACUAAAUAGAAUUUCCAGAAAUAAAAAUAUAAUUGAAAUUUUAAAAAAUCAAUGGAUGGGUUAACUAUUGGAUGUUACUGAGGGGACAAAAUCAGUGGAAUGAAAUACAGAAGGCACUAUAGUGUUAAAUAUGAAGGAAGAUUAGAGACAGGGUAAAGUGAGAAGUUCUAACAGGUCUAAUUGAAGUUUCAGAAGGAAACAAGAGAAUGCAUUAAAAGCAAUAAUUCAAGAGAUGAUAGCCUAAAGUUUCCAGAAGUUUAAAAAAGAAAUAGAUUUGGGGAGUCAAAAAAUUCCAGGGAAUAUAAGUAAAAAAUUCUCCUCUAAAUAUAAAUUCUAGUGAAACUGUCAAACAUUAAAGGCAGUGAUCUGUAAAGCAUCUAGAAAGUAGUCUCUAACAAAGUCAUUGUAAAUAUCCUGAGAGUGAUUUUUCUACAACAAUAAUGAAAUCCAAAAGACAAUGAGAUUUUAAAAUGCUAAGAAAAAAAUAAUUACCAACUUACAAUGGAAUGUGUGCUGAAAUUAUCUUUCAAGAGUAGGAGGGAGAAUAAUAUAUCCAGGCUAAAAGAAAACAUUAUUGAGGUCAAUAGUGAGCUCCAAGUAGAAUAUCAAAUGGAAGACCACAGAUGCAGAAAGGAAGGAUAAGCAAAGAUUUCUGUAAAUACAUAGGUAAAACUAAAAUAUUGACUAUAUAAAAUACCAGCUACUUUGUCAAAUUAAAACUAAAACCAAAUACUAGGCAAUACUAGCCCUAUAACUUGAGAAAAGACUGAUUCUACCUGAAGCAUUCUGAUGUCUUUUUAUUUGAGAAAAGGGUAAAGAUAUUAACAUUAGACAUUUUACAUAUAUCGGGUUAAAGUAUCUGGGAUAACCUCUAAAAGAAAGGACAUAGGAAAUAUAACCUCCAAAGGAAAAGAAGACGAAAUAAAAAAAAAAAAAAGUAAUCACUCAUAAAAAACCUAAUUAGGAACAUCUCUAAUUCAUCAUAUAAUUAUCAUUUCUCCUAGUGUUAAAAACAAUUCAUAUCUAGUUUCUUAGCAAGUUUAAUACAGUUCUGCCAUUUGUAAUCCUUACACUGUAUAUCAGAUCUUCAGAACUUAUUAAAUAUAAGUAUAUAUGUAUCCUUGAACAACAUCUGUCCCAUUCCUUCAGUCUCCAGCCCUUGAUAAUCACUAUUCCACUGUUUUUUGAGUUUUGUUUUUUUUUUUUUUGAGAUUCCACAUCUAAGGAACAUCAUACAGCAUUUGUCAUUCUGACUUAUCUUACUUAGCAUAACAUCAAGUUUCAUCCAUCUUGUCCCAAAUGGCAAGAUUUCCUUUUUUCUCAUGACUGAAUAGUAUUUCAUUGUGGGGGAUGUGUGCGCGCGUGCGUGCAUGUGCGCGUGCGUGAGAGAGAGAGAGAGAGAGAAGCAGAUCUCACAUAUUUAUCCAUUAUCCAUCAAUGGACAUUUAGGUUGUUUCCAUGUCUUGGCUAUUAUGAAUGCUGCAAUAAAUAUGUGAGUUCAUAUAUCUUUUUGGUAACCUGUUUUUCCUUCUUUUAGAUAAAAUCCAGAAAUUCUACUUCUAGGUAUGUAUGGUAGGUUUUUUUUUUUUUUUU